CACAGGCAGGGGGUGAGGGCGGCUCUGCCCACCCUGGCCCCGAGGGGACGAAGCCAGCGCCCCCAGCCCCGCGGCGCCUGCUCAGGCCGCCCGGCCGGGGGUGUGGCUCAUUGUGUCUGCCGGGGGAAGGGGCGGGCGAUGCUCCGGCUCGGGCCGCAGGGAGAGGGCGCAGCGGCGGCGGGAGCAUGAGGCCGGCGUGAGCGGGAUCCCAGCCCCGGGGAUCAAUGGUGCAGGACGGCAGCAUGUCCAGGACGCCGUGCAGCUCCAGCCAGGACAUCCAGAUGGACGUGUUCGAGCACCCGGGCCUGCAGGGCUCCACCUUGAUGAAGAAGCUGCUGGAUUUGCCCCUCCUCUGCCAGGCCGAAUUGGGGUGCCCCCAAGGGUGCAGAUGUGGGUGGAAGGAGAGGAGUCUCAAGGCACCCUGGGAGAUGUGGUGCCCACCUAACCCCCCUUUGCAACAGGGGAAAUACGGCAAGCGGAAGAGUCGUUUCAAACGCUCGGAUGGCAGCACCUCCUCAGACACAACUUCCAACAGCUUCGUGAGACAGGUACAAGCAGUGGGCAGGGGUUUGACUAGCUUUGGUGUGCCUUUUCUGAGUAGCACUGGCAUGGAGCCCCAGGGGUACUUGUGUGAAAGGUUCUCUCCAGGGGACUUGACAUGUUUUUCAUCCUUGAUCUGGCAGCAGGUGGUGAUGGCAGGUUGCUGGAAUACAGCAGCAGCAGGCAAGGGGGACAGCUCACCCCUGGCUGGCCAUCCCCAGUGACUAUAAUAACCUCCUAUCUAGUCCCAGCUCAAGAAAUUACUGCUUAGCAGGGCUUUGGUUCCUGCUCAGACCCAUCCCACUGUGUCUCCAAACUCUCAUGUUUUGCAAAGAGCAGAGCCUGGACCCCUUUGUGUUAAAGCAACAAGAAAAGACCAAAGUGAAGUGUCCAUGGGAGAGUGUGUGGGGUGCGUGACACCCUUUGUAACCCUGAGACCAAACCCAGUGCCCAUCUCUGCCUGUGCAGUACAAAUUUUAAAGCUGCAGGACACUGAAUCCAAAAUGUCCCUUCUGAGACUCUGCAGUUUGGGUUUAAAUGACUGGGGUACUUCAAGCGCAAAAAUGACUUCUUAGCAACCAGUCCAUAUAUAGUCCCCUCUGGGUGUGAGUGGUGUGAGCACAGAACUGGAGUCCUGUGAGCCCUGCCUCGUGGGAAUCGGUGUAGCUGGGUGACGAUGUUGUUCCCUGGCCAUCAUUGGGGGCACAACACUGGCAAGACCUCAUCUGCUUUGGUUCUGUGGCCCCAGGGAAAGCCUCAAGCCAGCUCCUUCCAGGCUGCAUCUGGGAGCAGGGAAAGGUUGCAAGAGCUUCAGGAGGGCAGGGAUCAAAGCUUGAAGGCCUCUUUUUAUUCUGGAUCCACUCUGAGCUUUGUUGUUGCCCGUGGCAACACUGCUUAGUUGUAACCACGUCACUGCUGUGGAUGUGGGUUGCUCCAUGCAGUGGUGCAUGCUGCUAGGGUGAGCUGGACUUGGUGGGGGCGGUGCUGGGGUUGGUGGUGCUGGCAGGGGCAUUGCUGGAGCCUCUCUCAGCAGCCCAGCACAGCUCUGCCAUGGCUUCUUGGGGCUACUUCUCCUAUUGGGUUGUUUGAGCUCUGUCAGCAAUCCUGCCCCAUCCCUAAAAGCUGAGGUCUCCUUGCCCAGCCCGUGCCCCUUGCUGGGAGAGGCCAGAGUGGAGCAGCACUGGUCUUUCUGCUCCCCCCUACCAACUUCUUCAGAGCUGUUGC
RNAcentral lists this long non-coding RNA (1764 nucleotides) under Crocodylus porosus (Australian saltwater crocodile). RNAcentral's name for it is "lncRNA (ENSCPRG00005002613.1)". Lineage: Eukaryota; Metazoa; Chordata; Crocodylia; Crocodylidae. The record is from RNAcentral.